Non-coding RNA from Pelobates cultripes (western spadefoot toad), 581 nucleotides. Lineage: Eukaryota; Metazoa; Chordata; Amphibia; Anura; Pelobatidae. The record is from the annotation of a GenBank genome assembly.
GCAUUGUUGGCGUCAAUGGUGAUUUCCAUCUAUGUGCGAUGGCAGUUUUAGUAGCCAUGAGACAGUGGAUCAUGAAAGGGAUUGCUUCCUUGGGAAGAGAAUUCGGAAAAAUAUGUAGUAGAAAGCACUCUGGGGAUUGGGGGAUGUGCACUCCCAGAAUUUUAUACAGAAGAGCGUGUAUGUCCCGCCAUAGAGUGGUAAUAGGCGUACAUGUCCAAAAUAAAUGUAAGAGGGACCCUACGCUAUUUUGGCAUCUCCAACAGCUUGCGUCAGAGCCCGGAUAGAUACGGGCCAGUUUGGUGGGGACUAGAUACCAACGCAUUGCUAAUUUACAGUAUGUUUCCCAUUGAUUAAGGCUAUGGGACGCCUGUUUAGUUAAUUUUUGGGCGCGAUGCCAUAAAUCAUUAGAAAAAUGCUUUCCCAGAUCUGAUUCCCACUUAGACAUAUACGAUGGUUUGGACAGUUUGUCUUGGAGCAGUAGAGUGUUGUAACAUAGAGAUAAUGCUUUGAUUUUUGGAAGCUUGCCCAUGCAUUUGUGAAUGAAGGGUGAUGUAGAGUCGGGUUCACUCAGGCUAAUCCCG